AAACAUUAGAUGGACUCCACACUUAUGGACUCCCACAUCGAAUGUGAAAUCUCUCAUAGAUUCCAAACCAACAUAGAAUUGAAAUGAGGCCUCCCUGAUACAGAAUUUCUUGGAAUUAAAAUGAAUAGUGGAAUACCAAAGGGAGAUGUGAUGUAUUUUGCCCAAAAAGCAACGGGAAUAUGCUUUGAAGCUAUCUCCAGACUCAGUUAUGAAGCGACAUUCGCAUGAAAUAACACCCAUGAAUUUACGAGAAUAAUUAGCAGCUUCAGGUGCUAAGAGAGCACAAAAAAGGAUCUUGACGAAGGGGGUAGCAUGUGAAUGAGGACUGGGUGCUGUGAGAAAGCAUGACAAUAAAGAUCCAUUAUCAUUUUUAUACA
RNAcentral lists this unclassified non-coding RNA (377 nucleotides) under Hevea brasiliensis (rubber tree). The record is from RNAcentral. Lineage: Eukaryota; Viridiplantae; Streptophyta; Magnoliopsida; Malpighiales; Euphorbiaceae.